This 551-nucleotide ribosomal RNA is filed under the name uncultured bacterium. Its description in RNAcentral is "bacterial SSU rRNA". It matches the Rfam family "Bacterial small subunit ribosomal RNA", at positions 102 to 648 of the family's 1533-position model. The record is from RNAcentral.
ACGGGUGAGUAAUGUCUGGGGAUCUGCCCGAUAGAGGGGGAUAACCACUGGAAACGGUGGCUAAUACCGCAUAACGCCGCAAGACCAAAGAGGGGGACCUUGGGGCCUCUCACUAUCGGAUGAACCCAGAUGGGAUUAGCUAGUAGGCGGGGUAACGGCCCACCUAGGCGACGAUCCCUAGCUGGUCUGAGAGGAUGACCAGCCACACUGGAACUGAGACACGGUCCAGACUCCUACGGGAGGCAGCAGUGGGGAAUGUUGCACAAUGGGCGCAAGCCUGAUGCAGCCAUGUCGCGUGUAUGAAGAAGGCCUUCGGGUUGUAAAGUACUUUCAGCGGGGAGGAAGGCGAUGUGGUUAAUAACCGCGUCGAUUGACGUUACCCGCAGAAGAAGCACCGGCUAACUCCGUGCCAGCAGCCGCGGUAAUACGGAGGGUGCAAGCGUUAAUCGGGAAUUACUGGGCGUAAAGCGCACGCAGGCGGUCUGUUAAGUCAGAUGUGAAAUCCCCGGGCUUAACCUGGGAACUGCAUUUGAAACUGGCAGGUUGGAGUC